Molecule: unclassified non-coding RNA, 244 nt
Filed under: Hevea brasiliensis (rubber tree)
Lineage: Eukaryota; Viridiplantae; Streptophyta; Magnoliopsida; Malpighiales; Euphorbiaceae
Source: RNAcentral
CAAAACCAAUUAAAUUUAUGAAUUGAUCUAAAGACUAACUAAACAUAGGAAAAUAUCGAGAAACUCUAAUGACUAUAAUGACCACCGGCAAACACAUUGAAUUGAGGUCUAUUGGUACUUGUAAUAACUUAAAGCAAAUGCAAGGGUUAUUAUCAAAUUGGUCAAGGGCUUUCUCCAUAAAUCAGGAGCCAUGAGUUUCACAAAGGCUUUUAUGGCAUGCUUACUUUUUUUUUUUUUUUUUUUA